Molecule: long non-coding RNA, 3596 nt
Filed under: Elaeis guineensis (African oil palm)
Lineage: Eukaryota; Viridiplantae; Streptophyta; Magnoliopsida; Arecales; Arecaceae
Description: long non-coding RNA (EGUI_LNC000855)
Source: RNAcentral
UUUCGUACUUCUUUGGGUAGCAUCCUUGUUGUUUGAACUCAAGAUUGCAGCUAAUAAGGUUUUAAAAAGUGCCCAUGGUAUUGUCACAGCUGAGCUACCACAUAGUGGAUAUUCAGUAUGCAACAGCAUAUAUGGAUAAAUAUACAAUUAGUAUUUUAGAAAAAUAAAGAAAUAAGUUUGAUGACAGUAGAUAGAAUUCAGAAUAUACUUCCACCGUUAUUUUAAUCUUUUCUGGUAUGUUAAUGCUGCAACUUACAAUCCAUCAUGCAGCCUAGCUGGAUAUCAGGACUGCAUUGGACUGUUCUGGUGCAAUCACUACACCGCAUUGACAUAAUGGGUGCAUAUGCAGCUCUGUAGACUGCAUUUUAACGUACUAACACUGCAGCUUCUUUUUAAUAGCAGAAAAAUAUGAAGAUUCUGAAGUUGCCCUAUGCCCGGAUAGGAGCAUCUCCCUUAAAUCAAAAUUUCUACUAUUAAGAGAAGCUUGAGUGCUUUAAGUUCAUCUCUGUCUUGUUACAUCCAGCUUUAAUAACUCCACAUCGAUAUGAUCUCUCAUCAAUGUUGUCAAUCAACUAUACUGUCCCAGUAAAUUCAAUCCCAUAAGUAAUCCGGAACAGGUAUCUAUCCGUUCAUAAAUCACUUUUUAACUCUGAUCCUACUAUUUAUGAUAUGGAGAGAUAAAAUCAUGAUCUCAAAAUUGGAUCAUAAAAGUCUGCACCGCUUGAUUCAUCGCAUAAUUGACUGUCAACUGGUUUUGCUUGGGCACCAGGAUAAUGAUGGUUCAGACAAAUCCAAAUAGUUUGGCUUAGAACAGGUCAUAACAAUGUUUUAGGCUGAUAGAGAUAAGACUUCUCUUGAUAGACACAACCAAAUCUGCAUAUUAAAAAAGUAAAAACGAGAGAGAGAGAGCAAAAGAGGUUUUGACAAAUGAUAACUAAAACAAUAUUCACAUAUCACAUUUAUUUCAAAUUUUUAUCAUGCGUGUCUCAUUUUUUAGUUUAAAAUCAUGUAGUGCUAAUCUAAUGCGCAUUUUCUACUCAUAUUGGUAAUUGGUUGGGGCUAGAAGGGGGGGGGGGGGGUAUGUGGAGGGUGUGGCGGUGUUGCCCAAAAGGCUUUUAGUAGCAAAAACACAAGAUUUCAUGCAACUUUAAUGGUGAAAAAAAAUGGAACUGCACUUGUUGUAGGCAAACAGGAGACCUAAUAUAAGAAUAUUUUGGAUCAAUGGAUGCAUGACCUCAAAUUGAUAUGUGUAUUUUAUUGAAAAACAACUUUAAAAGGAAAGAAAAUGAAACAUAUAGUUUGCAGAAUGUUUUCUCAUUCCAGCUUAUUCUGUUGCGAAACUUAUUUCCAGCGAAUAGUUUUUGGAUGCUAUCACUAUCACUAGCAAACCUCCUGAGCCAUUUUCUCUGAAGGGCCAAAAAUUAUCCUAUGGAUAUGGUGAAUCCCGCAAAAUUUGAUUCCUAAAAAUAAAAACACUCCUGUAAUUAAUAAGAUAGAGCAGGUCGUCAUUUUCGCUGUGAUUGUUCUAAAGGGAUUUACUCUAUAAUGGUUCGGUUCUACGCAAUAAAAUUGUAAGAAUUUUGAAUACAUCAAGGUUAUACAUGGUAGAUCUACAAGAAUUACGAUAAUAAAGGUUUGAAAGCAACCCCUCCAUUGAAUCUGCCAAUUUGAUAGCAAAGACCUGAACCCUGCAAAUGUUCAACAACAGUUACUGUCUUACUGAAGAUAUGACCAUUCUCGAACGUCAUACAAUGACAUACUACUUAAAUCCUGUUCUGCAAUAUCUUUUGUCAUAAAAGAUCAAGGUGUCAUCCACAUAAUUCAAGAAAUUGAAUCAGAUCUUAUUAAGUAGACCACUAGAUCUCAAGAGCCAAAAUAAACUAUGAGGAAACCAGGACCCCUGCCUCCUACCUUCCAAGCAUCUAGGCAUCCAGCUGAUAAAUCAGUAAACACUACAUAUCUUUCACAUUGUCAUAAAGAUCUCCAUCCACUUUCUUCAUUUUAUAGACAUUUAAUCUCUGAGUUGGUCUUUACAAUAUUGUGUCGUAAGUUAUUUACUUAUAUAAUACAAGGGUGUCUACCUCUACACCACUUGCAUCGACUUGUAUCAGUACAUUUCAGAUUAUAAUAAUGCGUAUCUCUUUAGUUUUACCGAUACUUAGUGGCAUAGUGAAGCAUAUUGCUUCCCCACAUUAAACCAAUGCUCAAUGAGCCUCAUCCUCUUUAUAUUCUAAACACUCUCAUACACUUCUGUUUAAUUUUUUUAUUACUAUAUUAGAGGAUGUGAAGGUUCAUGUUAUACAUCAAAUAUGAUGCUCAUGUAAAAACAUCCUCCUAUAUCAAACCAAAAGCCUAGAAAUUAAGGUAAUUUAUACUGUAUGAUCUUUCCACAGUAAUACUAGUAAAUGAACUUUCCAGAGUACUGACUUUUAAAUGCAUAACACGUACACUACUGUUAACAGGUAAACAUAAUUAUGAGCUUACUUAAAUUGCUACCUUGUAAUCACAACUAUGUAAUGUUAGUUCAUAUGACAAAUUUAUUGAUACAAUGAAUAUUAUAAAUAAUGAUCAACAGAUAUAUAUGGGAUGGGCUGCAAUUCAAAUUCAUAAUAAACAGUUAGAAAUAAUGUUCAUUUUUCAGUAUAUAUAAAAUGUAUAUAAAGCAGUUACGGUCCAUAUCAGGGAAAUUUGAUCAAAAGAGCAUUUAAGCAUGCCAGAAAUGUAUUUCUUACUCUCUGUAACUUCAAAGGUCAGUCAGGCAGUUCCCUCUAUAACUAGAAUUUACAAAUAGGAAAUCUAAUUUCAUAUUCUCAUAAUCUCUUUAAAGCAAAUUUCUAAUCCAUAGAAGCUGCUAUAUCUUGUGCACAAGUUUGAAUUUUCUGUCAUACAACGUCCAUCUGGUGCAUUAGUUCAAGCACAGCCACACUUAUCUAAACAACAACAGUCAUGAUUCCUUCCACUUAUUUUGAGAUCAUUCUCUCUUAUGUAAUGGAGUUUUACUUUAAUGCUGUAAUAAUAGCAAAAACUUAAUGAAAGAGCAAAAAGACAAUUGAUUAACUUCUCAAGAUUACGACUAAAGAAAACUAGUCAUCAUAACGACAAGAAAUAUGACAGGAGAACCUUAUGAAAACAAGAGAAACAACAAAAGCAAAUCAGCCAAUAACCAAACAAUCUAUUUAUCAAAAUAGGCAACCACAUCAAGGUUUAUUUGUAUCAACCAUAUAUCUUUAGAGAUAUAAUCGCAAUCAACAUACAGGCUGAAGCAAAAAGUAUAUGCAAAAAAGAUUUAAAAAAGACAAUUACAAAAACAUCUUGCCAAACUAGGCAUCAAUUAAGUUUCAUCCACAACAUAUAAGUGUUUGAUCUACCUGCAACAGAAGGCCUUUGAGGAAAACAAAUGAAAUAUACUUUUAGCAUUGGUACUAGAUGUCAAAUAUUGAGAUAAGAAAAAAAGGUGAUAGGGUAUAUUCUUUCAUACCUUGCAAGGACAUUGAUGCAAGCAUCGAAUUCAGCUGCAUAUUUUAAGUGUUUGACUCAGCAGGAAGGAAGAAGCACAUAUGGGGAUACAUAGGAUAAAUUUUAAUUUUAACAAAACA